CACGUAGGGGGCAAGCGUUGUCCGGAUUCAUUGGGCGUAAAGAGCUCGUAGGCGGUUCGAUAAGUCGGGUGUGAAACCUCCAGGCUCAACCUGGAGGCGCCACCCGAUACUGUCGUGACUAGAGUCCAGUAGGGGAGCGUGGAAUUCCUGGUGUAGCGGUGAAAUGCGCAGAUAUCAGGAGGAACACCAGCGGCGAAGGCGGCGCUCUGGGCUGGCACUGACGCUGAGGAGCGAAAGCGUGGGGAGCGAACAGG
RNAcentral lists this ribosomal RNA (254 nucleotides) under uncultured bacterium. Its description in RNAcentral is "partial 16S ribosomal RNA". It matches the Rfam family "Bacterial small subunit ribosomal RNA", at positions 524 to 776 of the family's 1533-position model. The record is from RNAcentral.